AGGUGGGCUUGCAGCUGCCCGGCUUUUCUUCGUCGGGCCGUGCGGAGCGCUGAGCCCCGGUCCUUCCCGGCCCGCGGGUCCCUCCCAGUGCUGCCUCCCCCGGGGACCGUUCAGCAUCCCGGCCUCGAGAAGGCGGACUUUGGACAGCACGUGUGUGGCGGGGACCGACGGGCGAGCUCCACCUGGUACAAGUCUUGCUUCUCGGAAAGAAGGCCUGUGGCCGACCUGAACCUCGUCUCCACGUGGUUGCCUGGGCGACCGGACGCCGCGGUCGGGAGUCAGCACAGCAGAGACCCGCGACUGAACGAGUUGGAACUGCAGGAGCGGAACGGGUGGAUCAGAGACUUAUCAACCUACAUGAGAAUUUAUUUUUAUCACCUAAAACCAAGCUCAUCUCCUCCUCCUCAAUAAACCCACUUCCACUUCGGUGCUGAAAGAGGCUAUCACAGUCGUACCUGGCCAUCUCUCUGAGGAAUCUGAGAUUCUGCUGCAAUGUUCCUUCCAUCUCUGCAGUUUAACACUGAGUCCUGCCAAUUAUCCUUCCUUCUCUCUGCAAAAAUGAAAAAUUGUAACAAAUUUAUUGUAAGAGUCUAAGCCACUUCUAUUUGAGAUUCUAGAGUUGGGCGAUAUCUCAUUCUGUGGGAUAGAUUUGAUGUUUAGAUAAGCUGAGGUGAGGCAAUUGGCUUUAUAACAACGGCUGGCAGGUGGAGGUCACUCAAAUGACCGUCAAGUUAAAGGGUUAGCAAUAUCCCCCAUGUUGUCCCUGGAGCGAGAGCUGUUUGGUAGACAGGUGGGGGAGGAAGCCAGAUUAUAGUGGACCAACAGGAAGGGCGGGGGUUGACCUUAGUUGAGAGGCAAGUGAACACAAAGAAGCACCUCCGCAUACAUCCUCCUCCAUGAAGCAGGGCUAAUGUAACCUGUAGCAGACAUCCCUGCCCAGUAUUCAUGGGCUAUGAGUGGCACCUGCUUCUUGCUGUCCAUAAUUUGGCUAUAGUGUUUUCAUAUCAGACCCAGCUUCUUCAUUCUGAGUCUCAUUUGCUAUCUCUUCUUUAAUUCGCUUUGUGUUGUGGUGGCUCACAGGAGGCCAGGACCUAUGUCAGAGGUUCUGGCAAUGUUUCCUUCCCCAUUCCCUGUAUGCCUUGUAAGGUACUCGGGGCUGCAGGAGAUGAUGAAAGUACAUGAAUAGUGUUAUGAGUGUAUGCAGGAAGAGUCACUAUUCCAAAAAAGCUGGUUCAGGCUCACAUAUACACAUUGGUGGCCUCACCUCCUGUCCCAAACUGCAGAUAGAGCUCCUGUUUCUAGGGCCCUUGUUAACUGAGCAUCUGUUAUAGGUUAAAAAUGUGAUUACUGAGAAGCUUAGAGGUGUUAGCAUAGUAACUAUACUAAGUAAAAGCUUAUGUUUUGGGCUGGGAAUGUAGCCCAGCAGUGCAGUGCCUGCCUGGCAAAUGCAAGGUCCUGUGUUCAAUUCCUGGUGAAAAAAAAAAAAAAAGCUUAUAUUUAAAAAAAGCUUGGGGCCGGGGAUUUAGCUCAGCGGUUCAGUGGCCUUCCUUGCAAGCUCAAGGACCCGAGUUCAAUCCCCAGUACCAAAAAAAAAAAAAAACUUUAAAAAAUAUGUACUAACACCAGUACUCUGUUUAAAAAUAAAUACAAUAUUUCAGUUAACUCAAUUUAGCCAUUCUACAAGGCACACAUAUUUGAAAUAUAUUGUAUAUAGAGAUAUAAUUUUUGUUAAUAUGAAUUGAUUUAAAAAUAAAAGGAGAUAUAGUUAUAUAAGCACAUAUAAUGUAUUUUCAUAUAUAUAUAUAUACAUAUAUAUAUGUGUGUAUAUAUAUAUAUAUAUAUAUAUAUAUAUACACACAGAUAUCUGGAAGAUGCACAAAAAGAUCAGGAAAAUCAGUUGCUUUAACUGAUAGCAUGUGUGGUUGAGGGUGAGGGAUGAAUGAGACAUUCUUUCUUUUAGUCUUUCUCCACAUGGUGCUGUACUACUGACCUACUUCUCUAUCCCUUUUUAAAAAUCUAUUUUGAGACAUUAAGUUGUCCAGGCUGGCCUCAAACUUGCUCUUCUUCUGUUUUAGCCUCCCAAGUAACUGGGAUUACAGAUACGAGCUACAUGGUAAGGCCCUAACUCAUCUUGAUUUUGUCGGAUUUUAUUACUACAUGCAUAUUAUCACCCAUUUAACACUGGCAACCAAAAAGUGUGUGUCUACCUCACGUUUCCAUUGCUGAUGGCCUCCAUUUGUCAUGGCUACCUGAUUUGCUCCAGAGUGCCUGAGCAGAGAGUUCUCUGGCCAUGUUGUGAGCUCACAGACGUGCAUUUUCUCAAUGACUGGCCAGAGUGAGUAGGUAUCAUUAUGGGCCACGACCUCAUCAGUUCCAUUGGAAUGUGCCAUCUGGCCUUUCCAGACAUAAUAAUUGUAAAGAAUGUUUAGUAUUUGCCAUGUGCAGAUGGUCUCCUUUACAAAUUUCUCCAUUUUGUCACUGUGUUACCUUUCCUUUGGUUGAAAGGAAACAGAACAAUAACAACAAAAAUAAUAAAGAGCAUUAACAUCUAAUGUGUUGUGUGCUUGUGUACGUAUAGGUUUGAUAGGAUGACCA
Molecule: long non-coding RNA, 2595 nt
Filed under: Fukomys damarensis (Damara mole-rat)
Lineage: Eukaryota; Metazoa; Chordata; Mammalia; Rodentia; Bathyergidae
Description: lncRNA (ENSFDAG00000025529.1)
Source: RNAcentral